GAUUGGCUGAAUAAAGAUGCUGAAGCCUAUGACUGGGUAGAAGAGAGGGAGGCGGAGUUUUAGGUGCCUGGCUGCUUGGGGUCGAGAGGGGGUGGGGAAGGAGAGGAGAUAGCAGAAGAGGAAGCAGGAAGCUGGAGAGGAAGGAAUCUCCUUGAGGCAAGAUGGACCAGGAGCACAUGGCUGCAAGGAGAGACUGAUGGGGCAGAAGGAGCCCGGGAAGCAUCAGAUUGGCAAGCCUUUGGCUUUUAUUGUGGGUUUUAGAGGUUCUGGGAUUAGAAUAGUCAGAAUGUACCCAGCGUAGUGCUUACAGCUUAAUAAUAAAUCCUCAUCUCCCUGUGUCAGUCACUGGGGAACUAGCUGGUUAAGGAAAACUGCUGCCGUAAUAAUGUCCUGCAUUCAUUAAUUUAGAAAGGAUAACUCAUCUUUCUACAAAUGGUGCCCAAUGAAUUUCAUGUUAUCUAACACCCUGAAUAUUCAUAUUUAAACAUUUAAAAAAAAAAGUUCUGGAUGCCGGGGGGGGGAUUCAACUACAGCUGCCCCCCCCCAGAGCCAAGAGCUCUGAGAAGCUUGCAAAGCAGACGGGGCCCAGCCCCAGCUCAGGUGGGAAGCCGGCCGGGGGAGCAGGGCCAGGGGCUAACGCGGGCAGUUCACUCUGCGGAAAUUUUCAAAGGAGUCAAGCACCAACUGCUAGGGACACUCCUGCUAGGCGGUUACUUAGCAACUGACAUUCAGAGCCCGACUGCCUAGGGGCUUGCAAGCAAACCUGCAAAGAGGAACGAGGCUCCAAGAAAACGAGGGCCAAAAGCUUACCCCAAGGUAAAACGCCAGACCCAAACUGAAGGGGCACGUGAUGACCUCAGAAGCCAAUGCUUUAUAACUUCCCAGAGAUGGGGAAGGGUCAGAAUCUGGCAAAGUUAGUCCAAGCUACAGGUGGAAGGCGGAAACAAGCCUUUUAUCCGUGAGCCGAAAGACAGGGGAGUGGCCGAAUAGGACUACAGGAAACCAGACACGGACGGAAACAGAGUCUCUGAUCAGGUAAGAAGAAAGGGGUUGACAGUAAAGAGGGAGAAGUAUGGAAAAUAUAUAGAAAUGAUAGGACAAAAGCACCCAGCCUACCUCAAAGAAGAUGAUAAGCACUGAAGAACCUCCACAUGGAGAAGGCUUCAAAUGUGGGAAGACAGCCAGCAGGGCAAAGAAAUUGCCCUCACUUUUCCACAGACAGAAUUCUGCCUAAAAUGGGCGAGCUUGGAUGCAGACCAGCUUGACUGUCAAACUCUGCCAAGACAGGGUAAAUAAGCCCUUAAUAGCUCUGCUUCACAAUCUAUCUGUCAGAUUCACAGGUCAGAAGGCUGAAGAUGACGCUCCAGUGGUAGAGUUUUUGGUUGGCUGUCCGGGCAGCAAACUGUCUCUCGUCAUUUUUAAAUUUUGGAAGCUGCUAGCCUGCACUUCCUGUUUACUCACGUAAUUAAUUUUAUUCCUUCUCAAGUCUCUGAUGGGGUUGAAGACUAAAUAGCUAAAGAGUUUUUACAAUUAAGCUUAGCUGCUUAGGAGUUAAAAAUAUAUUUUAUGUCUAGAUAGAUGUUUUUGGAGAAUAAUUUAGGUACAAAACUUUAGGCUCACCAAGAUAGGAGAGACAGUAUUUUCUUCAAGGUUGACAAAUAACUUUUGAAGAGGCAUGAUGCGUGUAAGUCUGACCUAUUGGUUUUUAUGGUUGUUUCAUAAAUUAUUCUUACUGUAUAUAGUUUUAAAAUGGCCUUUCUAAUCAGACAGAAAAGGGGAGAUGUCGAGGAAGGUCCGACUGUGUUUUCAAAUGCUGAUUUCAGCGCCUUGAGAUCUGGUCACAGCCCCGCAGUGCUGGGCAUUGCUGAACUAUCUCCCCUGUGAUGAUAAGGAAUGUACCUCAGUCAUCCCUGAUUGGCUAAAUAAAGAUGCUGGAGCCUAUGACUGGGUAGAAGAGAGGUAGGCGGAGUUUUAGGUGCCUGGCUGCUUGGGGUCGAGAGGGGUGGGGAAGGUGAGGAGAUAGCAGAAGAGGAAGCAGGAAGCUGGAGAGGAAGGAAUCUCCUUGAGGCAAGAUGGACCAGGAGCCCGUGGCUGCAAGGAGAGACUGAUGGGGCAGAAGGCGCCCGGGAAGCAUCAGAUUGGCAAGCCCUUGGCUUUUAUUGUGGGUUUUAGAGGUUCUGGGAUUACAAUAGUCAGAAUGUGCCCAGAAUGUGUUCCUUA
Molecule: long non-coding RNA, 2220 nt
Organism: Meriones unguiculatus (Mongolian gerbil)
Lineage: Eukaryota; Metazoa; Chordata; Mammalia; Rodentia; Muridae
Exons: 3
Source: RefSeq, a predicted model, not a curated record